This 76-nucleotide transfer RNA is filed under the name Candidatus Avoscillospira avicola. RNAcentral's name for it is "tRNA-Phe". It matches the Rfam family "tRNA". Rfam says of the family: Transfer RNA (tRNA) molecules are approximately 80 nucleotides in length. Their secondary structure includes four short double-helical elements and three loops (D, anti-codon, and T loops). The record is from RNAcentral. Lineage: Bacteria; Bacillati; Bacillota; Clostridia; Eubacteriales; Oscillospiraceae.
GCAGGGGAGGCGCGUACGGAUGCGCGGCGGCGUGAAGAACCGACGGCAGAUGGUUCGAAUCCAUCCCCCUGCACCA